Molecule: ribosomal RNA, 447 nt
Filed under: uncultured bacterium
Lineage: Bacteria
Description: bacterial SSU rRNA
Rfam family: Bacterial small subunit ribosomal RNA
Source: RNAcentral
UGGGGAAUCUUGCACAAUGGGGGAAACCCUGAUGCAGCGACGCCGCGUGAGCGAUGAAGCCCUUCGGGGUGUAAAGCUCUUUCGGCAGGAACGAUAAUGACGGUACCUGCAGAAGAAGCUGCGGCUAACUACGUGCCAGCAGCCGCGGUAAUACGUAGGCAGCAAGCGUUGUUCGGAAUUACUGGGCGUAAAGAGUGUGUAGGUGGUGUCGUAAGUUUGGUGUGAAAUCUCCCGGCUUAACUGGGAGGGUGCGCCGAAGACUGCGAUGCUGGAGUAUGGGAGAGGAAAGCGGAAUUCCUGGUGUAGCGGUGAAAUGCGCAGAUAUUAGGAAGAACACCGGUGGCGAAGGCGGCUCUCUGGAACGAUACUGACACUGAGACGCGAAAGCGUGGGUAGCGAACAGGAUUAGAUACCCUAGUAGUCCCUGAGCGGGCUGGCAAGGCGCAU